UUUGGUGAUUGGAGCUAUCUUGUCUACCUUUUGUUGGAAGGAACUUGGAAGAACUAUCUCUAUUUUAAAGUCAUCACAUCGGUUAAUUCGCACAUGUAAAAAUUCUUGGAUGGCUGAAUCAGAGAUGCAACCACCAUACUUCAUGCCGUCGGGGAUUUUGAAUGGAUUUUGCCCAUUCCCUAGCUAGAUGCAAUCACCAUACGUCAUGCCACCAAGGAUUAUGAAUGGAUUUUCCCCGUUCACGAGUCGGAUGUUGGAGUACCAUAAUAGAUCUCAUGGAACCAUUUUGAGUCAGGGGUCAUCAAACUCUUAGCAUCUUGGGAUGAAUGAAUCAAACAAUUACGAAGGCAUAGACAAUGCACGGUCGCAGCCUAAAUAGUCGGGAAUGUGCAUACCACUUUAAAGAAAAACCGAGGUCUCUCCCUCCCCCACCCUACCAAAAGCAUUGAAUCCCUUGUUUAGAUGAAUGUGUGCACUCAUCAAGGGCUUGGAGUGGCUUUACUAUUGCUCUCAACAUGUGAAGUUAGUUUAAAAUUUCAAAAACUAAUUGCUCAGAUGAAAACUUGUUAGUAUUCUAUAAUUGAGUUUAAUAUUUGUAAAUACUAACUUGCAUUUGAUGCAGCUUUAGAAGCACGACCUCCAUAAAAAUUAGUU
Molecule: long non-coding RNA, 654 nt
Organism: Rhodamnia argentea
Lineage: Eukaryota; Viridiplantae; Streptophyta; Magnoliopsida; Myrtales; Myrtaceae
Exons: 6
Source: RefSeq, a predicted model, not a curated record